GACGAACGCUGGCGGCGUGCUUAACACAUGCAAGUCGAACGGAAAGGCCCUGCUGUUGUGGGGUGCUGGAGUGGCGAACGGGUGAGUAACACGUGAGUAACCUGCCCUUGACAUUGGGAUAACUUCAGGCAACUGGGGCUAAUACCGGAUAGGAGCUCAUGCUGCAUGGUGGGGGUUGUAAAGUUUCGGCGGUGGGGGAUGGACGCGCGGCGCAUCAGCUUGUUGGUGGGGGAGUGGCUUACCAAGGCGUUGACGGGUAGUCGGCCUGAGAGGGUGACCGGCGACACUGGGACUGAGCUACCGCCAAGAAGCCUACAGGAGGCAGCAGUAGGGGAUAUUGCACAAUGGGCGGAAGCCUGAUGCAGCAACGCAGCGUGUGGGAUGACGGACUUCGGUUUGUAAGCCGCUUACGCCCUUUACCAAGCGUGAGUGACGGUAAUAGGUAAAUAAGCACCGGCUAACUCCGUG
RNAcentral lists this ribosomal RNA (468 nucleotides) under uncultured bacterium. Its description in RNAcentral is "partial 16S ribosomal RNA". It matches the Rfam family "Bacterial small subunit ribosomal RNA", at positions 28 to 507 of the family's 1533-position model. The record is from RNAcentral.